Colossoma macropomum (tambaqui) is the source of this 4936-nucleotide long non-coding RNA. RefSeq lists it as uncharacterized. NCBI's taxonomy places the organism in Eukaryota, Metazoa, Chordata, Actinopteri, Characiformes, Serrasalmidae. The transcript has 2 exons. The record is from RefSeq and is a predicted model, not a curated record.
UAUGAUUGUAAUCGAGUGCAAGUGUGGUAAUGUGAAGAAAAGUCUGCACAAAGUUUAUUACCGACAUGUAUAGAAGAAAUGCCAUGUUUUUAUUUUGUUCAGUGGAGAUUUUGUACUUCGUCAAGCAUGUAUACUAAAGGUUGUACGUGUGCGUGCGUGAGAAGCGACUGUGCGCGAUAGCUCACUUGUAAAUAGGUUCAGAUUGGACAGCAAAACAUUGCAUGGCCAGCGUUCUGAGGCUGGGGCUGCAGUUCCACCCACGGCCUGCGGGGGCAGUGUUUUGCAUGUUCUGUCUGUGGUGCUGUAUCGGCCUUUUUGCCUCUGUUUUCGGAGGCGGUUUGGGUCUGUGGGAGCAUGUUGGAUAUUUAUAGUGUAGCUUUUCUGUUUUUCAAACACCAUAAAACUGUGUAACUGCAUUAUCACUCCCUCUUUAUGUCAUUUUUGUCAUUUUUUUUUGCCCCCCUCCUCCAUUUGACUCAGUGUGGAUCAUUCUCGGCGAGGACGAGAUGUGAACUUUAUUGCCUUUUGUGCAGUACGAAUGCGGAUGUAUGUGCUGGUUUGAUGGCUGGUGUCCAGUCAGUCGCCAUGACGCUGUGAUCUGUAUGUACGUGGGUGUGUGAGCGACUUGCGUUACUAUUUUCAUUGCUGUCGGGGGGGAAAAGAGACAAGAAGAAACGAUAAGAGAUUUAUUUUUUUAUCGUUACAUACAAAGUAUUUGAACUUCUAUAAUUUGGAGCACUUUUGAGGCUGCUACCUUAUUGUAUUUUUGUUUUCUGUGUAAUGUUGUUUUAUUCCUUUAUUUCCAUUGUUUUUGCCUCUUUGGGAAGUAUAUUACAAAUGAAUGUAUUCCUAAACAAAGCAAAAUGUAUAACGGAGGCCAGACUCCACCCGUCUCUCCACCCAAGCGAAGGAGCGCGAGGAGAAAGACGGAAAGACGCGGUGGUCAGUGAAAAUACGGAGUGUCUCCUCCUGCUGUUUCUUCCAGAAAUUUUCUCCAGCAGCGGGAACACGGCACAUCCGGACCUCCGGGCUCGAGGAGGGUCUUCAUCCUGGCCUACAGAGCCAAGGACCUGCGGGGUGUAGCAUUAGACUUACUGAUGUUUGUGUUUUUGUUUUGUUUUCUGACAAAUUAAGGAUUUGGUUCCUUUUUUUAUUUAUUCUUUAUGCUUUCUGUCAAAUUUUGAACUUAGAUAUUUUUUUUCGAGAGAAAUUAAGGAUUAAGUCCUUGUUUUCUUUCAAAUCUGCUGAAAUUAGAUUUUUUUUUCAUUUUCUUAAGACUUUUUGCUACUUUCUGACAAAAAAAAAUAUUUUUUUCUUUUUUUUCACAUUUUUUGUUUGUACCUUUUGAAUUCGGCCCAGUUCUUCACAAAAGACGAGAAGAGACGGACUCUUGAAGACGAGGGCCGAGGAGUUAGCGGUACUUAAUCUAGAGGAAACAAUCCAUGCUUUAAGCGUAUUUUGCUCUUCGUCCUCGCUCUCGACCCUGGAUUAUAUUUUUGCAAAAUAAAGAGGAGGUGACGGAAAAAAAAACAGCCGAUUAAGCUGAACGCUCCUCAGGAGGUCGAGGUCGUCUUGUUCUCACCUCAGAGCCUCUGUUUCUGGAGAGAUGGACUUGAGUACUCUUUGUCAAAUGAAGGAAAAUCCUACACCAUUCCAGAAAAAUGGUUGGUUGAAUGUUUGACAAAAAACCCUUUAUAGUAGAGAAAAAAUAUUUUCAAAUUGCCUUUCAGAAAAAAAAUUAGCGUGUGGAAAAAAAACUGCGCUCGUCCAGUUGUUGAGCCCAGAGCCUUUAGACUGGUCAGAAACAUGAAUGUUUGGAUUCGGACGCAGGAAGAACUUCCAGCCAUUCCACAUUCGUUCUCGUGGACUAAAUCCCAGAGACUGCGGUCGUCAGUUUCAUUCCUCGAGGAGGAGGAAGAUUUCCACAACGCCGCGAUCGGCUUACAGCAUCGCAGAAGAUGUGGAUUAUAAACCCCCUCAGGACCCGAGCAGGAAGAUCAGCUCCCUUGUGGGCGUGGCCUCUGCUCUGAAGCUCCACUCUGCCCUCCGGUGGCCGAUGGAUAUAAAGACUAACGCCAGGAUUCAGCUGCCAUUCGCCCAGCAUGAGCGAGACUGAACCUGAAGCCUCUCUCACUCGUUUCUCUCAUACAUGCUUUCUUUCUCUACUUCACCCUUUCCUUCUCUCCUUUUACAACAUUCUACCCCCCUUUUCUCUUCAUCUCUCCUUUUUAGACUGGUGGUUCUCAAACUGGUCCUCAGCCACUCCGUGUUUUUGCUGUAACCCAGCUCCUGUUGCACCUGUACGAGGUAGUCAGUGCUCUGAAUGACUUGAUUCAGGUGUUUCAGGAAAUGAGCGAGAGCAAAAAUGUGACCCGGCUUGGGCGGGGGGUGCUGAGGACCACUGCAGUAGACCACUCUUUUGAGACUGUUCCUGGCAGAGUGAAGCUAUGAGAGCCCUGUUUACACCUGGUUGUUUUGUGUUUUUGACUUGCAUCAAGAGUUUAACCACAUGCAUUUACACUUAGUAAUCAAAUGCGUCUUCAGUUAGAUUGAGGCGUGAUUUCUGUUUGUGGCGCAGUAUGCAAAUCAGGCCAUAUGCAGCCAAUCACCUGUGUUGUUAUUAGUUUUUCCUUUUCUAUUCGAAAUAUGGUUAUCACUUUAAAAAUCUCAAAUUUCCAUGGCGCUAUACUUUCCUCAUGUCGAUGUUUACAAGAAGACGACCGUGUAGAAUAAUCAGCCUCCUGUAUUAGUCAUCAGAGUCAUGAGCCACCUGCGUUAAAGCGUGAUGUAUUGUAGCGAGACAAAGUAAAGUUUAACCAAACCGCUGCUUUAUUUUAACCAGCUUGGACCAGGCUGCACGAUCCGACUCGGAGGAGGAGCUCACAUCUGAAUUGAAUGCCUCUGUUUAGUAUCAGCGGUCAAGGAGGCUUUGUUUUUCCAUAUGCAGAGCAGCAAAGGGUGGACUCGUGAUUGUGUCUUGGUGAGACAGAUGCAUUUGCAUCUGGUUAAAAUGUUCCUCCUCCUGAAGUGGUUUGAGGGAUCUGUUUUAAAUGUACAGGGAGAUUCACUCGAAAGAGGCCCCGAAUAUUCUGUAAUAACUCUCUCCAGGACGAAGCAAUCUGAACAAAACAACACGCAAUGAGCUCCUCAGUAUAUGGAGCUUCUAACAAGCCGGGAUGCCCCUGCACUGGAGCGAUGAGGUAGGCGCCGGACAGCCGUCGCCACAUCUAACCUCCGAUAGCAGCUUCCGGGUGCAUAGCCCCCAUACGCCUUCAUGUGUCUGGCAGAAAACGGAGAUCACUUCCAGCUUCGCAUGUAAUGCAAUCGAUGACAUACAUCAAGGUAUGCAGAAUAUUUCUUUGGUUCAGAUUGCUUCAUCCUAACGGGGGUUACAACAGAAUAUUCGGGGCCUCUUUCGAGUGAAUCUCCCUGUAUCUUGGGUUUACACUUAGAUUUUUAUGUGGAUAAUCUCUGUCUGGAUAUCUCAUGUUUUAGACUACACCACAAAUGAGUGCUGAUAAACCGAUGUACAAACAGUGCAACCACGCUAAAGUUCGCCCCUUUAGAGUCAGGAAAGUUUGUCACAUCUUAAAUGAAAAUGUUCCUCUGUCCCCUCUCGUUUUAUCUAAGGUAGUCCAGUUUGUUUUCAAGGCAGUGGACACAAAGGAACAGCCAUCUUUUUUGGGAUCAAGCCCAAAGGCUGCCUGACUCAGUCAGCUGCAUAAGACAAUGAUGAUGUGGCCUCAGGGUUGUAACCUGCUAAACAGGUCGUGGACCAGCUGGUACUGAAGAGUGAAUGACUAAUGUUUUCCAAAUUUAGGUCGGAGGGCCGAGCGUACGCGACACGUGAGACGAAUGACUUGGAAAAAUUAGACUAAGCUGAAGUGACGACUUGUUCGAAUUUCUCGUUGCACCUUAAGUGCUGCAGCAGGUACAUUCAGGCCUGUGCAGGUGCCAGAAUGUAAUUGCGGCUCCAUUUAAGGUGGAUUGGAAAAUCGGAUCUAACAAAGCUCCCUAAUAAGAAACCAACUGGUUGAAAUUCGGAUGUAAAACAGCAUUUAGCCCCGGGCCGGCCGAGCUAGCGUUAGAAAGCAGUAUUGACAGGUUUAUAAGAAAUUUUUUCAGCUUAGUUUUUAUUUUGCGCAGUAGAAAUAUUUACUUUAGAAGUGGUUCUUAUUAAAAAAGUGACAGUCACAGAAUAAUUACUGCUACAAAAAUAGGUUUACCAAAAAAUGCGUACCGUAAAACUAAAAAUUUUAAUUAUACCAUGAUAUUAAUUUUUUGUAAUACCGCCCAAUACAAACCAGGUGUAAACAGGAUCUGAGAGUGUGUAUUUGUGUCUGUGGAGAGGCUACAUGCGCACAGGCGUGUGUGUGUAUUUGGCUCUGAAUGCCAUGUAAAUAAUGUAAAUGAUUAACGUCCCUGUCUCAGUUUCAGUAACCUCAGUCCUUUUUUUUCUCCCCUUUUGGUUUGUUUUUCAUGCCUUAACUGUACAGAAUAGAAGUACAAUGGACAAUUUUAGCUUAACUCGCUAAUCCGCACUCAUUAGAUUAAACAGAUUCUCUUCUGUGUACAGUGCUCAUCUCCAGUAUGUGUUCCCCACUCAGCAGAGUGUGUGUCUGAUUCUGGAGCUGGAGAACACCACACCGUGCUGUGGAACCAUACUUUCACGUUGCUCUGUAUGUAUUGUUCCUCUGUUUAACGUGAAGCAGUUUUUGAAACAUACGGACUGAUGACUCCUGAUGUAUUAUCAAGUUUGAAAGAGUAAUUUUAGCGUUAAAAAUAAAGACUGAUAUAGACCUCCCUCUGGAAGAGCCAGCAGACGAGAGGACGUCAGAGAGGAGGGAGGAGAGCCUGGUGGAUAAGCGGGAGUAGUUUUUGUGUUUUUUGAGAAGAUCAAAAUAUGUUAAACUGAUAAUAAAGUUUUUAAGUGGUG